UGAGGAAUAUUGGUCAAUGGGUGCAAGCCUGAACCAGCCAUCCCGCGUGAAGGACGACUGCCCUAUGGGUUGUAAACUUCUUUUGUAUAGGGAUAAACCUACCCUCGUGAGGGUAGCUGAAGGUACUAUACGAAUAAGCACCGGCUACCUCCGUGCCAGCAGCCGCGGUAAUACGGAGGGUGCAAGCGUUAUCCGGAUUUAUUGGGUUUAAAGGGUCCGUAGGCGGACUUAUAAGUCAGUGGUGAAAGCCUGUCGCUUAACGAUAGAACUGCCAUUGAUACUGUAAGGCUUGAGUAUAGUUGAGGUAGCUGGAAUAAGUAGUGUAGCGGUGAAAUGCAUAGAUAUUACUUAGAACACCGAUUGCGAAGGCAGGUUACCAAGAUAUAACUGACGCUGAGGGACGAAAGCGUGGGGAGCGAACA
Molecule: ribosomal RNA, 422 nt
Filed under: uncultured bacterium
Lineage: Bacteria
Description: bacterial SSU rRNA
Rfam family: Bacterial small subunit ribosomal RNA
Source: RNAcentral